UGCCAGCAGCCGCGGUAACACGGGGGGCGCAAGCGUUAUUCGGAAUUAUUGGGCGUAAAGGGUUCGUAGGCGGACCAUCAAGUCCGAGUUGAAAGCCCACGGCUUAACCGUGGAGGGUGCUCGGAAACUGUUGGUCUUGAAUUCAGAAGAGGCAAGUGGAAUUCUAUGUGGAGCGGUGGAAUGCGUAGAUAUAUGGAGGAACACCAGUGGCGAAGGCGGCUUGCUGGGCUGAUAUUGACGCUGAUGAACGAAAGCGUGGGGAGCGAACAGGAUUAGAUA
This 279-nucleotide ribosomal RNA is filed under the name uncultured bacterium. RNAcentral describes it as "partial 16S ribosomal RNA". It matches the Rfam family "Bacterial small subunit ribosomal RNA", at positions 506 to 784 of the family's 1533-position model. The record is from RNAcentral.